AUUGAACGCUGGCGGCAGGCCUAACACAUGCAAGUCGAGCGGAUGAAGGGAGCUUGCUCCUGGAUUCAGCGGCGGACGGGUGAGUAAUGCCUAGGAAUCUGCCUGGUAGUGGGGGAUAACGUCCGGAAACGGGCGCUAUACCGCAUACGUCCUGAGGGAGCAAGUGGGGGAUCUUCGGACCUCACGCUAUCAGAUGAGCCUAGGUCGGAUUAGCUAGUUGGUGGGGUAAAGGCCUACCAAGGCGACGAUCCGUAACUGGUCUGAGAGGAUGAUCAGUCACACUGGAACUGAGACACGGUCCAGACUCCUACGGGAGGCAGCAGUGGGGAAUAUUGGACAAUGGGCGAAAGCCUGAUCCAGCCAUGCCGCGUGUGUGAAGAAGGUCUUCGGAUUGUAAAGCACUUUAAGUUGGGAGGAAGGGCAGUAAGUUAAUACCUUGCUGUUUUGACGUUACCAACAGAAUAAGCACCGGCUAACUUCGUG
Molecule: ribosomal RNA, 483 nt
Filed under: uncultured bacterium
Lineage: Bacteria
Description: partial 16S ribosomal RNA
Rfam family: Bacterial small subunit ribosomal RNA
Source: RNAcentral